CUGUUUUUUGAGAUGGGGUGUCACUCUGUUGCCCAGCCUGGAGUGCAGUGGCGCAGUCUUGGCUCACUGCAACCUCUGUCCCCUGAGUUCAAGUGAUCCUCCCUCUUCAGAGUCCUAAAUAGCUGGGACCACAGGCGUGUGCCACCACGCUCGGCUAAUUUUUGUAUUUUUGGUAGAGACAGGGUUUCACCAUGUAACCCAGGCUUGUCACAAACUCCUGACAUCAAGCAAUCCACCUGCCUCGGCCUCCCAAAUUGCUGGGAUUACAGGCGUGAGCCACUGUACCUGGCCCCUAAGAUUCUUUCUUUUCUUUUCUUUUCUUUUUUUUGACGGAGCCUCGUUCUGUUGUGCAGACUGGAGUGCAGUGGUGCGAUCUUGGCUCACUGCAACCUCAGCUUCCUGGGUUCAAGCGAUUUUCCUGCCUCAGCCUCCCAAGUAGGUGGGAUUAUAGGUGCCUGCCACCAUGCCCGGCUAAUUUUUGUAUUUUUAGUAGAGACGGAGUUUCACCAUAUUGGUCAGGGUGGUCUCAAACUCCUGACCUCAGGUGAUCCACCGCCCCCAUCAGCCUCCCAAAGUGCUGGGACUACAGGUGUGACCCUAGCCUAAACAGUAUUUUUUUAAAUUGUAGCAAUAGACAUUUUAUUAGAAAAAGAAUUUUACUGCCAUCUGCUGGAAAGUUGUCUUCAUAACCAUAUGAAAUCUGGGUUGUCCAAGAUAUGAAUAGCAUCCUUUAGAUGUUCCAAUCUGCACAACUGUCCACCCUUCUCUGGAAUGUCUCGUGGAACAGUCAGCCCAGGUGUCUCUCCUCUCAGUUAGAUCCUCAUGGGCAAACAGCACAGCCUCUCUUCCGUCCCUCAUCCUAAAGCUGCCCAUGUCUGUAAUGAUUUCCUUCUCUUACAGACGCUGGUUCACCAUUCAGAGCAACCAACUGGUUUACCAGAAGAAGUACAAGGUGAGUGGGCCUGGGUCCUGGAUGCCUGGGCCCCAGGGAGACUCAGCUCUUGCCUGCAGCUGGACAUCUGGCCCCUUAUCACCUUAUCCUGCCAGGACCCUGUGACUGUGGUGGUGGAUGACCUUCGUCUCUGCACAGUGAAACUCUGCCCUGACGCAGAAAGGCGGUUCUGCUUUGAGGUGGUGUCCACCAGCAAGUGAGUGCAAUCCCCAGGGGUGAUAUUCUAGUAUAUCUAAACAGCUGCCAAUCUGAAAGGCAGGGCCCACCACAAUGGAGGCCCCCCAUGCACCUCCAGACCUUAAUUUAAUCCUUUGGCAGCUGGACUGGGGGGCCGUUGUGGAAGAGGGUACAGGGUGAUGGGGGAUAUUUAGGAGAAUAUUACCAACUGGUACAGAAGUCUUUCAAUGCAACUAGAACUGGUUGAAUACUGGCUGAAUGUCAGCCUGCCCAUCCUGCCACUUUGCUUCCCGGGCCUCAGACCCCUCUGCCAUCUCCCUCACCCUCCUACCUAGGUCCUGCCUCCUCCAGGCUGACUCAGAGCGCCUCCUGCAGCUGUGGGUCAGUGCUGUGCAGAGCAGCAUUGCUUCUGCCUUCAGUCAGGCUCGCCUUGAUGACAGCCCCCGGGGUCCAGGCCAGGUACCUUAAUCUGGGGGUGCGGAGCCAGGCUGCCCGUGGAGAUGGGGCACCCUUUACCCUAGGCCCCUUGGCCACCCUUUCUUCCCCUCUCUCCCCCAGGGCUCGGGACACCUGGCCAUAGGCUCUGCUGCCACCCUGGGCUGUGGUGGAAUGGCUAGGGGAAGGGAGCCUGGGGGAGUCGGGCACGUAGUGGCCCAGGUCCAGAGUGUGGAUGGCAAUGCCCAGUGCUGCGACUGCCGGGAGCCAGCCCCGGAGUGGGCCAGCAUCAACCUUGGUGUCACCCUCUGCAUUCAGUGUUCCGGCAUCCACAGGUUACUCCACGAGGCCCAUGCGGGAGCCCCACUCCUUCGGGCCACAGUGAGGCUCCAAUAGAGAGCUCACCACACCAGCCCCUCUUCUUUCCCUGUCCUGGCUUCCUCUCUUAGCUUCUGGCUUUGUCACUGGGUACCAGGCCUGGGCCCAAGCCUGUGGGGUGCCAGUUGGACCCAGGUGGGCCUAGCCCCUCUGUGUCCUAGUCUGGCCAAAAUUGGGGGAUACCCAUAAUUUGUUGGCUUGGUUGGAAGAAGUGUGGGGUCCAGGCUGCUGAGGGUGGGGCAGCCAAUGAAGACUAGGCAGAGAAACGGUCAUGAGGCCUUAGCAAGUGUCUAAGGCCCUCACCCCCCACCUCAGUGUGGCGGAAGGGAGGUGACAUGGGAGAGGUUGUCCAGGCCAAAGUGUCACUAGAGAAGGGAGGUGGCUGGAGUGAUGAGGGCCUUGAAAUGAAACCUAAGGAACAAGGAAUGGUGACGAGGCAGGGUCCUGUCAGGGCCGGGUCAAGGCUACAUGGCGGCUACAUGGCCGCAGCUGCCCUGCCUCCUGGGCCAGCACCUCUGCACAGGCCCCCAUGCCAGCCUUGCCUCCCAGUGUCUUCAGGAGCAGCAGCAGCUCCCCAGGCCACUGCCCCCCUGCACAGGGCCUGACCCUCCCCUCUGGCCCUCCAGGAGUCUUGGUGUUCACUUCUCCAAAGUCCGGUCUCUGACCCUUGACUCAUGGGAGCCAGAACUAGUGAAGGUAACUUAGGGUAUUGUGAAGAUUGGGCACAAGAACUUGGGGUGGGGCAAGGACAUGGGGGUGCAGGGGCGUGAUCCCUGAGGAGUCACUCGCCCCCACCUUCCCUGUCUCUGCCUCUGCCUGGGCCUCCCGAAGCUCAUGUGCGAGCUGGGAAACGUCGUCAUCAACCAGAUCUACGAGGCCCGCGUGGAGGCAAUGGCAGUGAAGAAACCAGGGCCCAGCUGCUCCCGGUGAGCUUGGGGUUUAGCCUCCCAGGGGAAUGGGGGGCCCCUGGAGCAAGAAGAGGGAAGACUGCCUGCUUCUCCCCUCCCACAGGCAGGAGAAGGAGGCCUGGAUUCAUGCUAAAUACGUGGAGAAGAAGUUCCUGACCAAGCUGCCUGAGAUUCGAGGGCGAAGAGGUGGCCGGGGGCCCCCAAGGGGGCAGCCUCCUGUGCCCCCAAAACCUUCCAUCAGGCCCCGGCCAGGAAGCUUGAGAUCCAAGCCAGGUAUAGGGUUGGUUGGGCAUUCAUUGAGCACCUGCUGUGUGCUCGGUACCGUGCCAGGUACCGCGGGGAGGCACAGAGUGUGAAGCCCAGGCCUUCCCCUGGAGAAUGUCGGAGGGACCGGACUGCAAUUUCAGGGGUUACGGUGGAGUGUGACAUUAAGAAUGGGAAGGAAUGUGGGGCUGGGCGUGGGCAGGGAGGGUAAGGGGUGCCAACAGCAUGAGAAAAGGAGAGAGAGAGGGGGUGGGUUUGGCUGGAGCAUCAGGGGUUGAGAGCUGAGGCCAAGUGUCAGGCAGUCAGCUCACCUGUGUCAUCCCAGCAGUCGGGGUGGUUGGACACGCCUGCAUCACUCUAUUCCCUCCACAGUCCCAAGCUCCCCAUCAUUUAGAAGAGACCUGUCCCAUUAUAGCACUGGGGCACUGUGCUGAGGGUUUUCUUCUCAGACUCAGAGCUGCUUACAGAACCAAAUCCCCGAACAGAGCCCCCCUCUGAGGACCUGGGAAGCCUGCACCCUGGGGCCCUACUCUUUCGAGCGUCUGGGCAUCCUCCAUCUCUUCCCACCAUGGCCGACGCGCUUGCCCAUGGAGCUGAUGUCAACUGGGUCAAUGGGGGCCAAGAUAAUGCCACACCGCUGAUCCAGGCCACAGCUGCUGUAAGAGCCCUGCCCACCUCCCCACCCCACCCUAGGGCUGACACCUACUCCUGACUCUGGGCCCUGCCCUCACCUCGUUUUCCCACUACCUGUUCCCUAGGGCCUCCACCCACAGGGAGAGAUCAGCAAUAGAGACUGGUUGCUAAGUGUGUGUGAUUUGGAGGCAGAGAAUCUGAGUUUGAACCCAGGCUCUCACCCCUUACAGGAGAUUUUUUUUUUUUUUUUUUUUUUUUUUGAGACAGAGUCUCGCUGUGUCCUCCAGGCUGGAGUGCAGUGGUGUGAUCUCGGCUCACUGCAAGCUCCGCCUCCCGGGUUCAGGCCAUUCUCCUGCCUCAGCCUCCUGAGUAGCUGGGACUACAGGCGCCCACCAGCAUGCCCGGCUAAUUUUUUGUAUUUUUAGUAGAGACAGGGUUUCACCGUGUUAGCCAGGAUGGUCUCGAUCUCCUGACCUUGUGAGCCACCGCGCCCGGCCUACAGGAGACUUUUAAGAAGUUAUUAACCUCUCAGCCUCAUCUGUAAAAUAGUAACAUACCUCAUAAGCUUGUACUAUGGAUUUAUAUAUGAAUACAUGCAAAGAGCUAGAGCCAAGUCUGACAGCUGUAACCCCUUCCACAUUCCUGAUUACCACACUCCACCCUCCCAUUCUCUGAACUGGCGCCACCCUAAGACAUCUUGAAAUCCACCACUAGGGAUGCCACCCUCAACCCCCCUUCUCGACUUCUCCAUGCAGAAUUCUCUUCUGGCCUGUGAGUUUCUCCUCCAGAACGGGGCGAACGUGAACCAAGCGGACAGUGCGGGCCGGGGCCCGCUGCACCACGCAACCAUUCUUGGCCACACGGGGUAGGGAUGAUGGCCAUGGGGAGGAAGGCUGGGAGACGUUGGCCGGCCGGCUGACCCUGGCUUUUCUCUCCAGGCUCGCCUGCCUGUUCCUGAAACGGGGAGCUGAUCUGGGAGCUCGAGACUCUGAAGGCAGGGACCCUCUGACCAUCGCCAUGGAAACAGCCAACGCUGACAU
Molecule: small RNA, 4787 nt
Filed under: Pongo abelii (Sumatran orangutan)
Lineage: Eukaryota; Metazoa; Chordata; Mammalia; Primates; Hominidae
Description: retained intron
Source: RNAcentral